Molecule: transfer RNA, 178 nt
Filed under: Sphingomonas desiccabilis
Lineage: Bacteria; Pseudomonadati; Pseudomonadota; Alphaproteobacteria; Sphingomonadales; Sphingomonadaceae
Description: tRNA-Tyr
Source: RNAcentral
CGCUUUGGCUAGGAAAAGGCCGUCACGUGAUCUAGCGCGUAUUUGGGAGGUGCGUGGGUCGCACCCGUCGUGUAGGCUCACGUAUCCCAUAACUCACUGAAAACUAUCCAGUUCGCCUGACGCUACAGUAGCCUUCGUAAUGCGGGGGUCACAGGUUCGAGUCCUGUAAGCGGCACCA